Molecule: ribosomal RNA, 402 nt
Filed under: uncultured bacterium
Lineage: Bacteria
Description: bacterial SSU rRNA
Rfam family: Bacterial small subunit ribosomal RNA
Source: RNAcentral
UGGGGAAUCUUGCACAAUGGGGGCAACCCUGAUGCAGCGACGCCGCGUGAGCGAUGAAGCCCUUCGGGGCGUAAAGCUCUUUCGACCGGAACGAUAAUGACGGUACCGGGAGAAGAAGCUGCGGCUAACUACGUGCCAGCGGCCGCGGUAAUACGUAGGCAGCGAGCGUUGUUCGGAGUUACUGGGCGUAAAGAGUGCGUAGGCGGUUUUCUAAGUUCGGUGUGAAAUCUCCCGGCUUAACUGGGAGGGUGCGCCGAAGACUGGGAAGCUGGAGUGUGGGAAAGGCAGGCGGAAUUCCUGGUGUAGCGGUGAAAUGCGUAGAUAUCAGGAGGAACACCGGCGGUGUAGACGGCUUGCUAGACCAUAACUGACGCUGAGGCACGAAAGCGUGGGUAGCAAACA